Molecule: ribosomal RNA, 245 nt
Filed under: uncultured bacterium
Lineage: Bacteria
Description: partial 16S ribosomal RNA
Rfam family: Bacterial small subunit ribosomal RNA
Source: RNAcentral
UAGGGAGCGAGCGUUGUCCGGAAUUACUGGGUGUAAAGGGCGCGUAGACGGUUAUGUAAGUCUGGAGUGAAAGCCCGGGGCCCAAACCCGGGAAUGCUUUGGAAACUGUGUAACUAGAGUACAGGAGGGGCAGGCGGAAUUCCUGGUGUAGCGGUGAAAUGCGUAGAUAUCAGGAGGAACACCGGCGGCGAAGGCGGCCUGCUGGACUGAAACUGACGUUGAGGCUCGAAAGCGUGGGGAGCAAA